UCGUUAGCUCAGUUGGUAGAGCAGUUGACUUUUAAUCAAUUGGUCGCAGGUUCGAAUCCCGCACGA
Molecule: transfer RNA, 66 nt
Filed under: Hafnia paralvei
Lineage: Bacteria; Pseudomonadati; Pseudomonadota; Gammaproteobacteria; Enterobacterales; Hafniaceae
Description: tRNA-Lys
Rfam family: tRNA
About the family: Transfer RNA (tRNA) molecules are approximately 80 nucleotides in length. Their secondary structure includes four short double-helical elements and three loops (D, anti-codon, and T loops).
Source: RNAcentral